RNAcentral lists this ribosomal RNA (552 nucleotides) under Escherichia coli. RNAcentral describes it as "partial 23S ribosomal RNA". It matches the Rfam family "Bacterial large subunit ribosomal RNA", at positions 1192 to 1744 of the family's 2925-position model. The record is from RNAcentral. Lineage: Bacteria; Pseudomonadati; Pseudomonadota; Gammaproteobacteria; Enterobacterales; Enterobacteriaceae.
CACCGAAGCUGCGGCAGCGACGCUGAUGCGUUGUUGGGUAGGGGAGCGUUCUGUAAGCCUGCGAAGGUGUGCUGUGAGGCAUGCUGGAGGUAUCAGAAGUGCGAAUGCUGACAUAAGUAACGAUAAAGCGGGUGAAAAGCCCGCUCGCCGGAAGACCAAGGGUUCCUGUCCAACGUUAAUCGGGGCAGGGUGAGUCGACCCCUAAGGCGAGGCCGAAAGGCGUAGUCGAUGGGAAACAGGUUAAUAUUCCUGUACUUGGUGUUACUGCGAAGGGGGGACGGAGAAGGCUAUGUUGGCCGGGCGACGGUUGUCCCGGUUUAAGCGUGUAGGCUGGUUUUCCAGGCAAAUCCGGAAAAUCAAGGCUGAGGCGUGAUGACGAGGCACUACGGUGCUGAAGCAACAAAUGCCCUGCUUCCAGGAAAAGCCUCUAAGCAUCAGGUAACAUCAAAUCGUACCCCAAACCGACACAGGUGGUCAGGUAGAGAAUACCAAGGCGCUUGAGAGAACUCGGGUGAAGGAACUAGGCAAAAUGGUGCCGUAACUUCGGGAGAA